CAGUAGCCGCGGGAAUACGAAGGGGGCUAGCGUUGCUCGGAAUGACUGGGCGUAAAGGGCGCGUAGGCGGAAUGCUUUGUCGGGCGUGAAAUUCCAGGGCUUAACCUUGGGGCUGCGUUCGAGACGGGUAUUCUAGAGUGGAGAAGAGGGUCGUGGAAUUCCCAGUGUAGAGGUGAAAUUCGUAGAUAUUGGGAAGAACACCGGUGGCGAAGGCGGCAACCUGGUCCAUUACUGACGCUGAGGCGCGACAGCGUGGGGAGCAAACAGGAUUAGAUACCCCCGUAGUCCCUGUCUCUUAUAC
Molecule: ribosomal RNA, 301 nt
Filed under: uncultured bacterium
Lineage: Bacteria
Description: partial 16S ribosomal RNA
Rfam family: Bacterial small subunit ribosomal RNA
Source: RNAcentral